AUCAAGGCUGCGAGCACAUGGAAUGGAAGCUUGAGGUUCAAACAAAGGAACCGGUGUGCGAGCAAAACGGACGGCAAAUCGCAGUGCACGGAGAAAACAGCAUUUACAGUGGAGGACAGGCACGUUGUGUACGUAUUUCUCAUGGAGAACUGAUACUCAAUUAGUGCUCCACAACUAGUCAGCUGCCACCUGGAGGUCUGGGCAACAAAUACAGUUCAGUGCAUGACAUUUUACAAAUUUCAAAAAAAAAAACCCUCACCACAAAAAGACUGCCCAUGACAUUGGGUUGUACCACAAAGGAAACGAGUACUACCAUACAAUAAUAAUCCAUAGCUUUCCACGACAACACAGAUACAGCAAAAUAGUAACAUGAAAGGCAAUAGCAAAAUACAAAUUUCAGAAUCAUAAUAUAUGAUCAUGUGGAUAGAUAAAUAUAAAACCAGAUGACCUGCCUCCAAAAGCAAUCACCGUGAUAAGUAAACUGCAACAAAUGAUAAUGGCACAGAAGGCAGCCAAGCACCAUCACUGCAAUCAGUGCCUCAAGUUCUGCUAAAGACAAAGCAGAACACAUUCACAGCACAAAGGCACAAAACUGUAUCAACCAACACAAGCCUCAAAAAGCCUUCGCCGUGAAAAGACUAUCGUGAGAUAAUUAUGUAGCAUUCAUAAAUAGUACCAUAGUAAGUACCACAAUCAAAAAAUUGACAGUAAAGAACAACAUCCAGGGCAAAACAGAACCCAAAGUUGACUCCCACAGUUCUUAACUAUAUUGAAAGCGCAUUUAGACAACUCUCAAUGAGUAGAGCUUUUCACUCAACCCAUCCUAAGCCUCUGCUGUCUCAGUUGGAGCCUCAAGCACAAGACCCUUGGUGGGCUUUCCCAGAAGGUCUGUGAACUGCUGGAAUGGAGUCAUGGAGAAUUUGGUCUGAGUCCAGAAUUCAGGAGUAAGGAAGCCAUAGGUCUUCAUCAAGCAGUCGAAGGUCGCCUGCACAUAACCAAAACAAAUUACUAAUAAAUGCCACUGGAUAGACAUCUAUAUAUGAAUGUAUGAAUUAAAUUGCAGCAGAACAAAAAUACUAAUAUAUUAUAUGUUAAUAGGUCAACUGUUGCGUAACUACAAAACAAACUUAAGUUAGUUUAGAAUUUUCGAUACUCCAUGACUCACGAGCUAAGUAUAUUUAACUUUAGAUACCACACUGUUCACAAACUAAUAUCAUACAAAAUUCCAAUACAGGCCAUUAAGAAAAAAGAAUCCGGUGCUAGAAAAGUAGCCACCCAAUAAUAAAUGUCAAAACAGUUUAAAAUUACAGCAAACUAGUACAUCUAAAUAUGAAUUGGAACCUAACAUGAAUGAGAUUUUGACAAUUAACAUCCAAUCCGCGAGCCUUUCAAUAUUUGACACUGACAUCAUAAUGAUGUGUAGAGAGUCAAUCUGAGUCAUUGACAUGUGGGUCUGGGUGUCAAAUUGUGGAAGGCUUUAGAUGUCAAUUAAAUUCUCUGAAUGAAUUAGGCAAAUCAUAAGAACAAUAUACAGACAGUGUCCGCUGCAAUUUUGUAAUCGCAUCAAGUACAGUUAAUUGAUCCUAGCAUAUGAUACUUGAUCAAGAUAACACUACAUGUUCAACAUUUCACAUAAAUAAACAUAUUCAGCUCAUCCUUGCAUUCCAUAAUACCAGUCCUAAGGUGCAGAAUUUGCGAAUGACAAGUAUAAAAGAAGCAUCACAUCAUAAUAUGAAUAAGAGCGUAAUAGUACCUUGACGAAGUUGCCAAGGGUCUUAGUGGAGCCACGGGACGAGGUGAAGACAUCCUCAAUGCCAGCGAACUGCAGCACCUUCUUGGGCACACGCGCGGCGACGAUGCCAGAACCCCUGGGUGCGGGCACCAUGCGCACGGUGACGGAGCCACACUUGCCGGUGACCUUGCAGGGCACUGUGUGCGGCUGCCCGAUCUUGUUACCCCAGUAACCCCUCCUGACGGGGACGACAGAGAGCUUGGCGAGGAUGAUGGCGCCGCGGAUGGCUGUGGCCACCUCCUUGGCGCACUUGACUCCCAGGCCGACGUGACCGUCGCCAUCGCCGACGACGACGAAGGCCUUGAAGCGGGUGCGCUGCCCGGCGCGGGUCUGCUUCUGGACUGGAGUGAUCUUCAUGACCUCAUCCUUGAGCCCCGGGACGAGGGUCUCGAUGAUCUGGUGCUCCUUGACGGGGAGCGAGUGGAGGUAGAUCUCCUCGAUCUUGUUGAUCUUGCUCUCCUUGACGAGGCGGCCGAGCUUGGUGACGGGUACCCACUUCUCUUCCUCCUGACGCGGGCCACGACGGCCGCCGCGGCGCCCGCCACGGUCGCCGCGUCCACCGCGCCCGAAGCCACGGCCGAACCCUCCGCGCUCGCCGCCACGCUCACCGCCGCGCUCCGCCAUGGCUGGGUGAGGAAAGGGUGGGGUGCUCCGGAGAGUGACGGAGGAUGAGGGUUUGGGGGCUGCGGCGGCGCGAAGAGUGGCGGUGGUGGAGGCGAGGAGCUAUUUAUGUCGAGGGAUGGAACUAGGGUUUUCCAGGAGAUGCUGCGCGGAGGCCGUGGGCUGAAACAUGGGCCAGGAUGCUGUAAUCGACCUUCGAAUUUUGUUUAACGGCCCAUACGCAAAGCAAUCGAACCCAGCUUAUGCCAUGUAACAACGGCCCAUACACAAAGCAAUCGAACCCAGCUUAUGCCAUGUAACAUCGUCGGACAUUAAGGGGCUGUUUGGUUGCCUGCAUAUAGUGAACCAGGCUCUCAGGAUGCAGCAUGCCUCUAUUUGGUUACCUGAUCUGCCCCCGAGCCUCGCUGAGCGCAUGCAAAAACUCCUUCCGAGCCUGGCUCCUAAAGAACGCUACCUGGCUCGCUCCAAGCUCCCACGAGCUCGCACACGUGGCGAUUCCCGCUAUUCACCGCCUAUAUUCUCGCCUCCUCCCUCUCUUCUUACUAGUCCCCAUAUGCGCUUUGGUUCUUAGGGUUUGUGCUCUUCCCCCUUCGUCCUCUCUUCUGUACCUUUGCUCUUGAUCAAUUUGUGGCAUGCUAAUGCUUUCCUUGAUUUAUUGCUGGUGUCGUGGAUCUACGUCUCUCGAAGCAAGAGUGUUUUCCCCCUUUUUUUCUCUAUUUUCGUUACCGAUUUGCAAACCCUAGGUGUGAUUUGUUGUUGAUCUUGCUGUAGGCACGUAAAUUUCUUAGCUAAUUUUGAGGUAUGGAUCCAUCCUCAUGUGUAUUUCUUUAUUCUUUAUUUUUGUUUUCGUUAUAAAAUCCUAACUUAUGUAUGCAAAUCAUGUUUGUUUAGGAUCUGUGCUUGCAGAUCUGACCUCCGUUAACUCCUGUUGUGCUUUGUUGGGUCUCCUGCUCAUUGAUGUGGAUAUUUUGUUCAUCUAAUCUCCCUCUUACCUCUCCCUUUAAUCUGCGUUCUUUGAUUUGGAUGCAUGUGUUACUUUUUGAGAUUAUGAACAACUAUAUGAAGAUGUAUUUUUUCCCUAAGGUACUGCUCAGGUCUGUGAUGACACCUUUUGUUUUUGAUCCAUUGUCCUAGUCUAUGAUGUUGCACAUUUGGUCUGAGGAUAUGUCCUAGGGGGCUUUUUUAUGAGAUUUUUUGCUACUAUUUGUUGAAGCAUUUUUCCUGAGCUACUGUUUAAGUCAAUAUUGUUGAUAAAUAUGAUGGCCCUAUGAGUAAGUGGGAUGAGGAAUGGCAAAAGAACUUAAAUUAAAUUUUCAACUACAAUGACCUUCACCGUAUUGGCAUGCUCAAAAUUGGGCUAAGAUGACCUAGCUAUUUGAGUAAUUAUUUGGGAUGAGAUUGAAGACAUAUGUUAUGAUGACCGGUGCAUUUUUCUAUCUAAUUGGGUUGAGAUUGUGGCCAGUGGUUGUGAUGUUCUAUAUUUGGCCUUCACUGUAUUGGCAUGCUCUGUUAAUUGAUCUUUUUCUGGCCAAUGAUGCACAUGGUACUUAGUUGAGGUGGUUGUAUGUUGUGUACAUUUCAUGUUGCUGUUGUUUGUCAUGAGAUUCAUCAAAUUUUCUAGCAUCAUCGACUCGAAUGCAACUCUUGGGUGCACCUCAAGUUGAUGGCACUCAGUGAUGAGGCUAAAACAUUUCAUGGGUGCCAUGAGUCUGGGUUGCUCGAAAUAAUCUGUGUUGAUUUGUGUUCUUUUCAUUUGUUAGACAGCCACCAUUGACAUGUUCUUAUGCUAUAGCACUUAAUAAAAGAGUUGAGGCCAAAAGUAAACUACUUUUUAUCCUAUUUUUGGUUGUCUUUCCUUCUAUGUGGCCAAUAAAGAUGCAUAGCAUUGGGGGGUGCUUUAAUAUUAUUCAUGUUGAGUUCUUCGACCCCUAUGCUGAAGGCUAGUUGAGUACUUCAAAUCAUUCUUAUAUUAAAGCCAAUGGUGUCAAUCUAAAUAACUUGCUACUAUGUUGGUUGUAGUCAUCGAAAAGAUGCUUAAGACCUAAAGUUUCCUCUUCAGCAACUUUAGCUCUUAAAGCUUCUUUUUCAUGCAUGCUGUCAGUUUUGAACAAAGGUCUUAGGCUAUGAUUUUCAUAUGCUAUCAGUUUCAUGCCAACUUUUGUAUUCUCCAUAUCAACCUUGGUGCAGGCAACCAAACAUAGUUCCUGUUGGCCAGUUUUUGAAUAAAAGCAAAUGCAGGCAACCAAACACCAGCUGGAGCUAGCGUGGCUAGUCUCAUGCAUACAACCAAACAAAGAAGUGUUGCAUGCAUUGAGUCAGGCUGAAGCGGGCUUGGCUGGCUGAUGCAGGCCUGGCUCACCUGGGAAGAGAACCAAACAGGCCCAAAAAUGGAUAGACCGUCAAUGCUUGCCGUUGUGUUCAAUUGUAUUUACCAGCCAGCGCUCUAAAUAUAUAAUUCAAGCGUAUGUAAAUUUGGACUGAACCAAGAUUGGUGAGGACGUACAAAUCGUAGAAACUCCUCAUCGCUAAAUUAUAUUUGAUGAUCAUGAAAAUGUUAUAUUUUUGGCACUGUCUUAUAGGGCAUUAUUUCCUGAUGAAGGCUUCAUGGUGGGGUGGCCAACUUUUCAACAGAAAAGCACAGAAAAUUUGUGUAUGUGUAAACAUUGCAAACUAUACAUAGACAUAUAGCACUAUCAGUAUUCAGCUACGAGUAUUUGCUAUCAGUUCCAAGGUGAUCAUCUCAUAGCAGAAAAGGAGACAAAAGUAGAGAUGUCAAUGGGGAAUUAUUCGUCGGGGAGUGCUUCCCCAUCUCCGUCCCUAUAGGGAAGAAACUUCCCCCAUCCUUGUCCCCGUGCAGGGAAUAAUCCCCGUGGGGUUCCCCGUAUUCGCGUUAGUUCAUAUUAGUUUAUGUGAUGUUAACUAUUCACAUAUUCAUGAAUUCAUUAUACAAACAAAUUUCUUCUACAAAGAUUCAUAUUUGAGACUAAGAAAGUGAAAGAUUAGGGUUUCAACUUUACUUAUAUAUCAUAAUUAUUGGACCUUAUAAAUAUAUGGGCGUUCAGAGUCGGGUCCCGGCACGAAGCGGGAACGGGAUCAGACAUACCAUCCCCGGCCCCAUGAACCCCCGAUGGGGACAACUUUAGCCCCGUUUAAUUCCCUUUAGGGGCAAAAUUUAUACCAUCCUUAUUAUCCCCUAAUGAGUGAAUUUCCUGCGGGAAAUCAGAAACGGGGCCCUACAGGAGACGUGUUACUAGCUGAAAUGGAGACAAUUGUAAACGUGAAACACCCUAACCUUGUUUGGUAACUUGUCUACUGUGUUGGCGGUGACGAACGAUUCCUGAUACUAUAUGAGUGUACAUGGAGAAUUUCUCCCCUAAAUUCUCCGACAGCUUCCAGGGAAAGAAGCAGGGUCCACGUCACCUCAAUUAAUUUCCUCCAUUGGAUAUUUGAUCGUCUGGUCGUCGUUGCUUGGAGCGGCUUCUUUCUGGAGCAGCUUCCCGCGCUUCUUGUGAACUUCUCUGACUCCUUCUCUGUUUUUGUUUGGCUUUCUUCGGCUUCUCACUGAAUCCACAUGGAUAAAUAUAUACUCCAGCUUCUGCUUUUACCUCUCCUCCUUCCCGAUCCUUCCCGACCCCGACGCCUCUCUUCCCACGGGCAUCGCCUCCACCACGUCCUCCUGCACCUUCCCUUCCUCCCUCUCCCUCUCCCUCUCUGCCUCCUUCUCUCCCCCGACGGCAACGACGGCGGCACAACGGCCUCGGUGCGGCAGCCUCGGCGUGCGCGGCCCCUAGCGCGGCGGCCGUACAGCCCGACGCGGUGGGUGGCCGCACCUGGCCGUGGGUGCGAACGCCCCCUCCUCGGCGACGCGACCGAGCCCUGCCGGUGGCUGCCGGCGUGGCUGCCUCCCCAACGCCGCUUCCUCCCCCUACUCCGCGUGUGGUCUUGUGCUACAGGAAACCCUAGAGGUCGUGAGCGCCCAACGGCGACCCUGCCCCUAGCUCCUCUCUCUCUCUCUCCCUCCGUGUGCCCCUAUGGAUGGAACCGUUGUCUCCUCGCCAGAUUCAGCCCCAUAACAGAGAGACGCGGACACGCUCCUCAUCCAGGUCUGUGCCUUGCUUUUUGUUUGUUGAUAUUGAUUCGAAGGUCAUCACUGCCCCAGUGUAUGGUUUCAAUUGUUUUAAGUUGAUUAGACUUUUAUUCUGCUACCGAUCUAAAUUAGCAAGAAACCACUAUAUUGUAGAAUAAAAAGGAAAAACAAAAUUACUGUGUACACACGCAAUUGACAGAUGUUUAUUUUUAAUGUGAACUUCCCAUUGCCAGGAGUAGAAUGGGAGUUCAAGUCCCACUGCUUUAGUUUAUGACGAACAAUUUUAAGGUACUUUUUGGACCAUUUUCAGGCUCGCUUUUGUGAGACACAUUUUUUGUACUUCAUUUACAGUUCUAAAACUAUAGUUAUAAGGUGAAAACGUGCAACUGUCUUUCACUUGCUUGGUUAUAUAACCAUGAUUCUAGAGGAAAGUUACAGUGAACCUCUUCACCAUGAAUCGAAAUGUUCAUACUGCUUUGGCCUAGGAAAUUUAUUUAUAAUAGGUGGUUACGACGAUUACUCUCUAAUAAUCUUAGUUUACUAUUCCUUUCAGGCCGCACUGUAACCAGGCAAAUACACUUUCGCUAGCAAUGUUUCCAAUAUGAACAUAUACAAUUACUUCAGUUGUUUUCUCACAUAAUCGAGGCUUCUCAUGUCCUUCAUAGACCAUACGCUACAAAAGUAAGAUAGUCCAUUUUAUUUCUUUAUGUACUCCCACUGUAAUAAAUAAUGUUAUGAUAGUUCCUGCGAUUAAUUGGUUCAGAACCUUUUGAAAUCAGUUUCUCUGAUAGCCUGGUACUUUUCCUUUUUUGUCAAUUCUGACUGACCUUCCUCCCAAACGUCUCUGGAGCUUCACUAUUACACGUGUAAUUCCAUGGCCAACCUUUUACAUUUCCUAUACCUGUCUGGUGAAUACUAUUCCUUCUUGGACUUGACUUUGGAUUGGUAAAUUUUUUUGUAAUAAAUAGUCCCAUGGUCUAAUUAUUUUUUUGUGCAAAGAAUGGCACAUGCUCUCUUUUAUUUGUCUGUGACUUGAUCCAGAAUGCUCAUGACAAAGGACCGUUAUGGGACUCAUGACGGUGGAAAAUGGCUGCGGAGCUCAAACUGUUUGCCAUUAACCAAUGGGAGGUAGACUGAAAGCAAGCAUUCUCUAUAUUAUCUGUUGUUAAAUGUCCUUUCAUCUUUAGCAAAGAAUAUUAUCGAAGAAAAGGCAUUGUCUGGAAAUUCAUAUGUCAUAGGAACUAAUUAACUAUUUCAAAUAUUGACAUUUAACGUUUAAUGACACGUGAAUUAGCUUCAGAGACAGCUAAUAAUCUUAUGCAAUUGAAAGGAUGUUAGAUACCAUGAACCUAUGUAUCUAAAAAGCUAAAAUGUCUUACAAUUUGGAAUGGAGAGUAGCUUACAAGGUGGAUAGGAUGAUGUGUGUAGAACCAUGCUACUGAUAGGUAUCUUUUGAAUCAAAGUAACACAUUAUAUAUUUUUUUUAUAGUUAUACCAGUUUCCUAGCAUCUCAUCUAUGACUAUGAGAGAAGCCAUUUUAGUUUGUGUAAUACGGGGUUCUAUGGCUACCAGUAGAAUCAAGAUUUGUAGCUAUCAUAGCUUUACAAAGUCGCAUUUCAUCUAAAGGCCGCAUACAUCAUUUUCUAAGGCAUCUUAGUAGGCAGCCAUAUUUACAGUUACCAAUGGUGGUAUAGCAGUUCUGCUCUGCUUAUCGGACAGGGUCUUUGUGUCUCUCACACACUAUUAAUCAUAUAUGACUGGCUAAUUUAUUUUUCUACAUAAUCAAAGAAUGAUUCCAUAUAUUAGUGUGUUCUUGACAAAAUUCAUGGUGUAUACUAGGUUCAUAAGAUUGCCAACCUGAAUUAUUCUUUUUUGGAAGCAAAAGCCUUGCUGCUUUUGUCAUAUGGUCUUUUUUAUAUCUUUUUUUUGCUUCUUGAUCUGCCACAGAAUGUGAACUAUGAUAUUAGUUUCAUAAUGUUUUCCAUCAUUAGAUGGAUGCAAAAUAUAGAAGCAUUUCAGUUGAGGGAUAUAUGUGUGUGCUUUUACCUUUUUUUCUCUUCUAUUCUGUUCAAUUGAAUUUUAUUCUCACCACAUUUCCUCCAUUCCAUAUAUUUUACAUUGUCAAUAAUGUCAUCCUCAUGGCUCAUUGGCCCAGCCUUACUUUAGUUCUUAGAUAUGAGUUCAUGCUACAUAUUGAGGUUAUACAUUGCAUUUGUUGUACGUUUUUUCCUAGGAGUAUUUUUUUCUGGUGUUCCGAAAUUCAUGAGACAAUGAAAGGGCUUCUAUCAAAGUUAUUCAUGACAACAUAUAUUCGGACAGUAGUCAUCUAUUGUAAAAAGUGCUAGGCUGCUGGUAAACAUGAGAGCAUAAAAGUAUCAAUAUAAUAUAUCCUUAAAAUACUCGGGGAACUUACUAAACAUAGUUUAACCUUGCCAAUAAAUAUAGUCAGGUCAGUCUUUUAUGAAAAUAUUAGAUUUUGCAAAGCACUGAAACCUUAUUGCCUCUUCUUUAGUCUCUGAUGCUACUCAAGUGGGCUCAUGGAUUAGCUUUAUUUUAAUUUCUGUCCCUCUGCUAGAUAGUUUUAUUUUACGUGUUGAUUUGGCUGCUACAUAUUCACAAUCCUUAUGUUAUACACUAUUAGGUUAUAACAUCAAGUCAUUGUCUAGCGUCUCACAAACCCUGUUCUCUCUAAUACACAAUCGACCUAGGAUUCAGACUUGCCCAGGCUACAGCUUCACCAAACAGCCUAACUUACAGACUCUGACGACAAAGUUACAUGUUGGGGCUCUCCCUCUCGGCCACCAGGUAAAUUCCACUCCAUAGCUAAGCGGCUACAAAUAUUUAUAUUAGUCCCGGCUACGAUCUUUAUUAUUGUUACAACACAUUCAUAUAUCAUCGUACGUGAGAUAACAAUACUUUUCCCCCUGAUUACUAUAUUGUAACUGGACUGUGGUAUAUCCAAAAUAACAUCUACCAUGUUCACCUCGAUAGGCUUUUGACAAACUUGAUGAUGUGAAUCUGAUGAUGCUAUGUUGGUCUAUGCAUCCAGAGUACCAAGGAGCACCACCACUCAAAAAGCAUCCUGUCCAAGGGACACGUGAUCAUUUCUUCAUGUGCUAGCUAAUGAGACUAUGCAUGUAUAAUGCGACAUGUUUUUCUGUUCUAAUCUACAGACUUUUCAUGACUAUCCUCCUUAAUUAUUGGUCUGUUACAUUCAACCUUUGUGUUGGUUAUCCUAAUUUGCCUACCCCCUUGCUAGAUGUAUAAAUGACACAUCCUCUUCAUGUUUGUUGUUAAACUGAUGGUCCAUGUAUAUCGUGUUUCCUAUUCUCUGUCUUUAGGUUAAAUCAAACUACACUGUUACAAAAAAACCUGACAACCCGCGCGCAUAAUUAAUGGCACUAAAUUAACAUCUUUUUUUUUAUUUCCUGGUAUAAUCACAGAAGGUCGUAAUGUUAAAGGAUAAGUAUUUUGUCUCCCCUUUUGUUAGGCUUUGUCCGGCUGAUCUUCAUCUAUGUUGCACUAUAGUAAUCAACAUCAAACCAUGUAUGCCUUGCUGCGGCUUGACACUGGAGGCAGCAAUGCCAUGUUCCUAAAGAAUAAUCAUGGUUCUUGGAAACCGAGAUUUUUUUUUCUGAAAAAAAGGUUUUUCCAAGUAUUUGGUUCCUCUUUCGCUUAUCCUCCCGCGCGAUGGCGCGCGGGUUUCACUAGUGGUAGUCUUGAGACGUGGCCCGAACCAGGUUGUUGCCUUGAAAGCACUUGGAUCAUGGAUGGCCAGACCGCCUGAGUAUAAUAGUACCAAAUCAGACACUGCCAAAUUCUAUUGGGAAAGCACUUGGAUGACCAGACUUUUAGGAAAUAGUACUGCCUUAAAUAAACCGUAAUAAUAAUAAAUCAGAGGAUGCAUUGAAGGGAAAAUUGGAGCACUACUUUAAACAUCUCAAAUUAGACGAUUGCUUCAAUGCCUGAUUGAACAAGGGUACGACCCCAAUCGUGGCAUGUCUGCUUCAAAGGCAUAAAAAUAGUAACAAUGAAGGACAAUAGCAAAAUACAAAUUUCAGAACAAAAUAUGAUCACGUGGAUAGAUAAAUCUAAAAUCAGAUGACCAGCUAUGAAACAUUGGGAACACUAGAAUCACGCUUAGGCCUUGUUUAGUUGGUAAAAAUUUUAUUUUUGGCUACUGUAGCACUUUCGUUUUUAUUUGACAAACAUUUUCCAACCACGGAGUAACUAGACUCAAAAGAUUCAUCUCACAAAUUACAGGUAAACUGUGCAAUUAGUUUUUAUUUUCGUCUAUAUUUAAUGCUCCAUGCAUGCGACCAAAGAUUCGAUGUAAGGAAGAAUCUUCAAAAUUUUUGCGAACAAAACAAGGCCUUAGUAAACUGCAACAAAUUAUAAUGGAACAGUAGGCAGUCAAGCACCAUAACGGCCUCAGCCUUCAGUGCCUCAAGUUCAGCCUCCAAAGGCCUUCACCGUGAAAAGACUAUCAUGAGAUAAUUAUGUAGCAUUCACUGAUAGAGAGUACCAUAGUAAGUACCACAAUCCAAAACUUGACAGUAAAGAACAACAUCCAGGGCAAAACAGAAACCUAAGUUGACUCCCACAGUUCUUAACUAUAAUAUAGAAAGUGCAUUUAGACAACUCCCAACGGAGUAGAGCUCUUCACUCAACCAUCCUAAGCCUCUGCUGUCUCAGUUGGGGCCUCAAGCACAAGACCCUUGGUGGGCUUUCCCAGGAGGUCCGUGAACUGCUGGAACGGAGCCAUGGAGAACUUGGUCUGAGUCCAGAAUUCAGGUGUAAGGAAGCCAUAGGUCUUCAUCAAGCAGUCAAAGGUUGCCUGCACAUAACCAAACCAAAUGACUGAUAAAUGGAACUGAAUACAUAUAUAUAAGAAUGCUAAUAGGUCAACUGUUAGUGUAACCACAGAACAAACUUAAGUUAAUUUUCAAUACAGCAUGACUCACAAGCUAAGUAUAUGUAACUAAAGAACGGUGUUACAUAAGUUAAAACCUUUUUUAAAAAAAUUUCAAUAAGCAUGACUCACAAGCUAAGUAUAUGUAACUAAAGAACGGUGUUACAUAAGUUAAAACCUUUUUUUAAAAAGAUUGUAACUUUAGAUACUACAUUAUUCACAAACUAAGUUCAUACAGAAAUUCCAAUACUUGCCAUUAAGAAGGUAGAAUUUGGUGCUAGAAAAGUAGACAGCCAAUAAUAAAUGCCUAACAAGUACAAAAUUGCAGCAAACUGGUACAUCUAAAGAUGAAUUGGAACCUAACUUGAAUGAGAGAUUUUGAUAAUUAUAAUCCAAUCCGCGUGCCUUUCAAGAUUUGACAUAUCACAAUGACCUGUAUAGAGAUUUGACUUAUCACAAUGACGUGAAGAGUCAACCUGAGUCAUUGACAUAUGGGUCUGGCCGUCUGGAUGUCAAACCUUGGAUGGCUUCAGAUGUCAAUUUUAGAAAUUUCUCUGAAUGAAUUAGGUAGACAUAACAACACUAUGUACACAGUGUCCGCUGCAAAUUCAUAAUCUCAAUAAUAGAAUUAUGAUAUCACAUUAGUGUCCAUCUCUUUAGACUAAGAAAUAAAUUAAUACACUAACAACUUCUGAUGAAGUGAAAGUACAAAACCAGCACUUCCACCUAUCGCAUAUGAUACAUGAUCAAGGUAACACAUUAACACUACAAAUUCAACAUUUCACAUAAGAUCAUUCAGAUAUCAGCAAUAUGCUACUACUAGCUGGUCCUAGCAUUCCUUAAUACCAAUCCCAAGGUGCAGGUAUUGCAAAUUUCUAUUAUAAUAGAAGCAUCACAUCAUAAUAUGAAUAAGAGCGAGUAGUACCUUGACGAAGUUUCCAAGGGUCUUAGUGGAGCCACGGGACGAGGUGAAGACAUCCUCAAUGCCAGCGAACUGCAGCACCUUCUUGGGCACACGCGCGGCGACGAUGCCAGAACCCCUGGGUGCGGGCACCAUGCGCA
This 12474-nucleotide long non-coding RNA is filed under the name Sorghum bicolor (sorghum). Its description in RNAcentral is "long non-coding RNA (SBIC_LNC000057)". The record is from RNAcentral. Lineage: Eukaryota; Viridiplantae; Streptophyta; Magnoliopsida; Poales; Poaceae.